CUUAACUUGGAAAUUAAACUCUGGAAAAUUUCUGGGAAUUUUGCCACAAAAAAUGAAGCAGCAGACUUCCAUCUUACUCCUGGUGGCACUUAUCACCAUCUGGACUCAUAUUUCUGUGGGUGGCACACCCACAGAAACACCCGUCGGGCACACCCGUCGACGAAUUUGAACUGGCUUUGAACCUAUCCGGCUUGAGGGUGGGUGGACUCAAUGAAACAGUGAUGGACCGCUGCUCGGAAAAUGCUUAUUGUUCGGAACGAUGUUGCUGGGACUCGUGGGCGGGGAGGUGGUACUGUUGCGGUCGAAAUGCGGGAUGUUGUCCACAAGAGACGAGCAAUGGAUGCUGCCGUUAGGUUUAGAUUAGUCUUAUAAUUUGGAACCUUAAUAAGAAUUAAGUAAUUCAAUAAAUAAUAACCUAAAUAAUAGUAAAAAUAACCUAACAAUAACCUAACAGUAAAAAUUAUCGACGUAAAUAUUUAUAUAUUCUCGCCAAAUAAUAGGUGGAACUUGCAUAAAAGUUGGUUAAAUUACAAUAAAUAAAAAAUCGUUA
Folsomia candida is the source of this 550-nucleotide long non-coding RNA. RefSeq lists it as uncharacterized. The transcript has 2 exons. The record is from RefSeq and is a predicted model, not a curated record. Lineage: Eukaryota; Metazoa; Arthropoda; Collembola; Entomobryomorpha; Isotomidae.